AAGCAUGCAUCAGCCACAUCCAUGCUAUCUCCUAAAGCAGUCAUUCUGAAACCCAAUCUGGGGACAGUGCAGACUAAAUAAAAUUUCAUUUUGAUUUGGCCUCCCGCUGAGAAUGGGACUGCUUUGUUUCAGCCGACAGAACCAGCAAGCCAGAAAGGUGUUGAAUACACAAAUACUGAGUAAACAGAAAAUUAUAUUUGGAUUUGGCUUGCUUGAUGCUGGACGAUUAAUGAAGGAAGCCCUAACUGGACAAAUGUUGGUCUCCUGAGACAAUGUGUUGUUGAUAACAGAAAAGGAUUGACAAUAAGAUGUGGAUGUUCAUCUUUAAUGAACUCUAGUCGCCAAGUGGAAGCCAGCUAAGUUUGAUGAUGCAAUUGAAUACCUUCUCAGCAGCAGCUGAAUAUUUGCUCCUCAAAACAGUAAGAGCAAGCCUGUUAACUGCAAAUGUGAAGAGAUGAAGCAAGCAAAACAGAAAAAGUGUGAAGAGCUUUGCUGCCACAUCAUCCCUGUAUCAGAUAGUUUUGGGAUCAAUGAAUGAACAGGUAUGUAAAAGAGACUGAUAUUCUACAGAGAAGGGCUAUUCCAGAGAAAUGAAGGGGGGAAAAUUAAAAGGCAGUACAUUGUCACUAUAUGAUGACAAUAUUAGAGAAAGAAUUUCAUUUAUCUUCUUUUAAUUUUGGAUCUUUACAGUGGAAGAGUACUUCAGAGAGAUCUUGAUAAUAAUAUCUUUUAUCAAGUGUUGCCACAGUACCAGUAUUUUUGUUUUCUUGUUGGAGUUACUCAAGUAAGAGGAACCACUCUGCUGUAUAAGUUAAAAGUUCACAUUUCGUCCUUCAUUUUUGUGCUUUACAUUAUAAGACAUUUUGUUUACUAUAGAGGUAAUAGAUAUCAUCACCUUUGGUUAACCAUGAAAAUGUUGAUUUUCAAAUUACUAGAAGUUUUAAUUAUUCCAAUUAUAACUUAAUACUGCUGCAAUGACAUUUCACAUGCAGAAGUUAUAUCAGUGAAAAUCACUUAGGAUAACAGGUAGAAAUUAAAAUGUUUUCUCUGAGUAUUCACAGUACACUGGAAAUUGGGAGGUCAGGAUUUCUCACAGAUAAGACCAUCCAUUGCUGUGUUUCCAUCCAAGGAGUUACAUGCUACAUUCCCUUCCUCCCUUAUACACCAAAGCAAGAGAAACAUUUCCCUCACUAGCAGGGAUUCAGUGGUCUUCUUUGUCAGGCACUAGUUUUGGUGGUUUUGGCGCUGUACAAGGCAGAAGAUAUGAGAGAUGUCUGGAUUGUCAGCCUCAAGUGGUUACUUUAAAUGCCAGAGGUGAAGGAAUUCUGGAAAGAGCUGAAAAAAUACAAGUAGAUUAAUUUGCACUUCACAGAAGUUUCUGUUAGAAUAGAGACAGAAAGGGACUGAAUGAGGCAGGAAGGGAAGAGAACAUAGAGGCGAAGUAAUGGCAAAAAUUAAACAUUUAAUAUUUCCUUUAACUGCACUCAGAGAUGGGGAUUAUAUUUGACCAAACAACGAAAUCCUCCACCACAAGUCAGAGCUAAGGCUAACUCCACUUUUUCUUUUCAAUACUUUCAACAGAAAGGACCCAGUCAGUUAUUCUCUCUUCUCUAUGGGUGCUACAUAGUGUACUAGCAACACUAAUCGACCAAGCAGAUGGUUUUGUGGCAUUGUAUGAGUGGUAUAAUAUUUUUCUGUAAAUAUAAAUAGGAUACUCACUCACCUUGUUCAAGUUCCCAAUGUACUUCAUAAUAAACUAAAUCAUUUUAACAGAAAAAUGUUGACCAACCCUAGCCUAACAGCAUUCACAAAAUGAGCUGAAUAGUGACACAAAUCCCACCCAUUUACAAAAAAGUGGUAUUACAUUGACUUUGACAAUUUGAAGGAUAAACACAGAUAUGUGAAAGAUGGAGCAAUAAAAACCAUGUACUCCCUGCUCUUCAAAGGUCUCACCAGAAUCCACAAAGGUAAUAUACCUACUCUUUUUGAUUUUAAUAAGCUUUGUAUGAGUCAAAAAUCAUUGAAAAUUAGUAACAGGAAAAAGAAUUACUCUGUUUAUAUUUGUUGGGCUAUAUCCAUAAUAAACUUAUAAAAAAAAGAAAACAGUAGAAAACAUUAAAACAGACCCAAAUAUUAAAUUAAUUCUAGACUUCAAUGUUACCUCAUUUUCUGGUCCAACAUAAGUGUGUGAUGACUUUUCCAAAGCCUUUAUUGAAAACAUUUCCGAUCUUGGAACUGUGCAUCUUGCUUUCCUCUUGCAGCUGUUCCUUCUAGGGACAUGAAUCCUUGGACAAGCAGUUACCAAUAUCAGAGGGUAGUCUGGAAUGUACCACCCCCUGGGACACCCAAGGAUUACAGAUUGCUCUCAUGGGAGCUGCUGGAUGAGGGGUGGUGGGUCAGGAAAGCAUCCAGCUAAAGCAGAGUGGCCAGGAGUGCCCCAGGGCACAGAAGCAAGGCCAAACACCAUUCUGCCAGACACAGACGUCUGAGCUAACCUGGAUUUUCAGGUAGAGCAGGUAGAUUUUAUUCUUUCAGUGGCUUUUUAUCUGACAAUAAAAUAAAGCAAGCAAAAGAAGUAUAAAAUUAGAUCCUCGUUCUGCAUAUCAUAAAAGGAGAACUGAGGAAAAGACGGCUGGAGUGAUUUUCUGGAGCAAGUUGAGCCCUAGGUCGAAUUGGAUCUCCUGCCUUGUUCAGAGGCUGCCCUUUCCUGACUGUGAUGUGGAAGAAACACAGCCAUUAGCAGGCACCUGCAAAAAUGCUCCACCUGUUUUUGCUCAAAGUGACAAAGCCCAGAGGACGAUGUCUGUGUUCCCUGCAGGUCUGUAGGGAGCAUGAUGUAGCUGAUGCAAUUCCCAGCUCCAGCACACCUGCAAGGUCUCAUUGAUCUGCUGUUCAGUGCUCUGAAAACUCAGAAAUCUAUUAUCAGUGUGAGCAUGUGCUUAUUGAUCAGGUUACCUGCUUCUGCUCCCUGUGUGUGCCUAAUUCUACCAGCAUACACACACACACACAGACACACGUAAAUAUUCACACAUGUGUGCAUAGAUACAGGCACACACACAUGGGUUAGGGGCAUGUGUGUAUGAAAAAGGCUUUACCUUUUCUCUUUUUUUUAGCUUUACAAAACUGCACAUAAAUAAAAAGAAUGGACCUUCCCUGUGAAACGUGAGCACAGAAACGCUCACAAGUGGCCAAGAGCUGCUAAAUAAUUAAUCAAUAGAGCAGUGUGGCAGUUUGAAAUGUAAAUGUGAUGGAUGAAUGUGUGAUGCUUGUCAUCAAGCAGAAAAUGAUGUGACUGGAAUGGAUAACCCACAGUACCUGCUAACUGGCAAGAGCUUGGACACAAAGAUAAAGUAAAGCCAUCAGAAAGCAGACCUGGCAACCCCUAAUUCUUGCCUUUGACCCACAAUUCACUUUCAUGUCUCUGUCCCAGAAGAGAUGUUUAAAAAAAUGAUGAAGAGAGAUCUUGGGGUGGGAAAGGGGUGAGAAAAAAACCAUCUGAAGAAAUGCUACCUGACAAGGCUGCAGGCUACGUUCUUGAGAACACCUUUCUUUUCUUUAUGUUCUCCUUCUCCCGUUAAAUAAAAAUGCGGCUCCUUUUUUCCCUUCCCUUUCUUCCGAAACUCUCCCGAGCCGUUCCUGCAAGUGGUUCUGUGACUCGGGAGCUGACAACAGCCGCAUGCAAAGGAACAAAGAAUGAGAGUGACAAUUCAGAGUGCACGCAGGACCUCUACAGAUGUGAAGCAGCCUGCAGAAGCAGUAGAUCUCCAGGUGAACUGGCCAGUGUUUCCAUAUUUCCUCAAAUGAUUUUUUUUACCAUUUUUGUUGGGAUCAGGUUUUUAAUCUUUAUGAUACCUUUAUAAAGAGUCAUCAAGAAAACACUUAAGUAUUUCUACACAAAAAAAAAAAAAAAUAACAACAAAAGAAAAACCAAACCAAAAAAAAAAAAAAAGGUGCCAAAAUUAAUUUUGGAAGUCAAGAAUUAGAGCUUAUAUUAAAAUAGAACCCUACUUUGUCCAGCUCCAUAGUAAAUAACCCACAUUUUGUCUCGGACAGGUUGCUGAUGUAAAUCCAUUGAAGGGAAAUCCCUUCUGUAAGCUGGCUACCUGGAUAAGCUUUGAGCAAAGUGCCAACUAUCUGUGUAUACAGGGAAUCACCAUGGUCCAAAUAAAUAUUUUCUCUUUAGAAUGGCAAAAAUGUGGUCUGAUUGGUAAUUCAGCUUGA
Melospiza georgiana is the source of this 4221-nucleotide long non-coding RNA. RefSeq lists it as uncharacterized. The transcript is spliced from 6 exons. The record is from RefSeq and is a predicted model, not a curated record. Lineage: Eukaryota; Metazoa; Chordata; Aves; Passeriformes; Passerellidae.